RNAcentral lists this small RNA (1205 nucleotides) under Arabidopsis thaliana (thale cress). Its description in RNAcentral is "ATSL045220". Lineage: Eukaryota; Viridiplantae; Streptophyta; Magnoliopsida; Brassicales; Brassicaceae. The record is from RNAcentral.
CUCUGGGCUGCCAAGGAGUGAAUGGCGAGUGGGCUGAGGAGCUUGCUGGAAGUUGCAUUGCUUGAAGUUGAGGACACCGGCGUGCACUAUGGCCUUGAACACUGCAAAUCUGACAUUUGCCUAAGUAAGGCUUGAAAGUACGUUGCCCGGACUUGUUGUAUGUUGACGGCUGCGAGUUGGUGUUGGUGUUGUUGUUGUGUGUGUUGCCUUGGUAGCGGUUCUUGUGCUGGUUUUGAUUGCAGUUGUUGUUGAAGUUACGUUGCUGAACUGCAUUGGCUGACAUAGGAAAAGAGGAUGAAGGAGGUACCUCAUCAGAGAGUAACUUGGAUUCAUGAUUAAUGAGUCGUUCAUGAAUCUCGGUGAUAGUCGGUGUGUUAUCCUUUCCUUCAAUUUGAUCAACAACAGUUUUGUAUUCUUCAGGAAGACCCUUGAGGAUGUGUUCCACUUGUUCUUCAUGCUCCAUAGGUUUCCCAAGGAUAGCUAGCUGAUCCAAGCGAGUGGUGUGACUUUGCACAUAUUCGUCAAUGGUUUUGGUUCCCUUCGUGAGACGCUGGAUUUGUUGCCGGAGCUGCUUGAUGUGGCCGUAACUUGGCUUGGCAUAGGUGUUGUUGAGAGUGGACCAGAUCUGAGACGAGUUAGUGGCUCGUGACACCAAAGAUUGCACGGCAGGAGAGAUGGCUCCGAUCAAAGCACUGAAGAUCAACUUGUCUUGUCGUUUCCAGAGAGUAAACGACGGAUUGGCAGAGACAACACUGUUGAUGGUGGUUGUUUCUGGUGGGAUGACAACAGAGUUAUCAAGAUAACCUGCUAGAUCAUAACCAUCAAGCAAGGCAUGGAUCUGAAUACUCCACAUCAAAUAGUUGGUCGAUGUGAGCUUAGUGACAUUCGACGUAUUGACGUUAAAGAGUGUCUGAGGGGUGAGAACGAUAGCUUCGUCUCUAGUGGCGGGGAGGCCGUUGACUUGAGACAUGAUUGGCGGCUAGGUUUUGAAAAGAAGAAAAAGAAAAGAAAAGUAGGUUUUAGGAUAUCGAAGCUCUGAUACCAUGUAAAUGCUUAAUGUAUUGAAUAUUAUUAGAGUAGGAAUGUACAUAUAUAUACUAAGGCACAGCCCUAUGAUUAGGGAUUAACUAAUUACAAUUAUGUCCUUUAAGACUUCAUGUUUAAUAUACUCUAUAUCUAAUACCAAGAAUUUCAAGUUUUUUUUU